AUAUUCAGAAUAGUGUCAAAGGAAAUAGGUUGGCAGGUGGAAACCGAAGAGAAGAAAUAGUGAUAACAAGGUUAAGGUUGGGUCAUUGUUUGUUAAAUAAAACUCUUAAGUUGAUGGGCAAGCAUCAAACAGGAUUGUGUGAAGAAUGUCAAGUGGAGGAAUCAGUAGAGCAUGUAUUAAUAGAGUGUCAGAGAUAUCUAGAACAAAGAGGCAAAAUGAGUAUUGACUUGAGGGAGAUGGGAGUACAGGAGCUCACUCUAAAAAGUUUACUGGGUGGUAAUGGUAGGGCGCAGUUUAGAGUACUGAUGACUUUUUUGAAGGAGACAGGGCUAUAUAGUAGGAUUUGAGAUAGUUACAGGGAAAGGAGGGAGGAUAUUUGAUUGGAUAAAGUAGGGUAAAGUAGAAUUUGUAUAUAAAAUAGGGUAAAGAAGAAUAUGUAGGAAUUGUUUAAAGUAAUGAAGUUAUAAUGGUGGUAAUGUAGGAGUGUAGGAGAUUGAGAAGAAAAGAGUAGACCUAUUAUCAGGUCCACAUUCCGGAACAGAGGGGGCGGUAAUGCUCCAUUAAGUUGGAUGCCAACCGCCGGUAAAAAAGAAAGAAGAAGAAGAAGAAGAAGACGCUUCGUGGGAUGCAUUUAUUGCAAGUUACCUGGAGGAGCUGGCAGAAACUGGACAAUUCAAAGGAGCUAAUACUGAAGAGGCAUCUGAUGCUGCUGAGUAAAAAAUGGUGCAAAAAUGGAGAUGUAUUCCUGAGUACUCCUGCCCUGAGAGCAGCACAUAGUUUAUUAAAAUAACAGUAAUAUGAAUAUUGAGUACUCCUGGCCUGAGAGCAGCGCAUAGUACACUAAAAAUAACUGUAAUAUGAAUAUUGAGUACUCCUGGCCUGAGAGCAGCGCAUAGUACACUAAAAAUAACAGUUAUAUGAAUAUUGAGUACUCCUGCCCUGAGAGCAGUGCUAAUGCUAAUGCUAACGAUAACUGACUGAUGAAA
Long non-coding RNA from Cyprinus carpio carpio, 986 nucleotides. Lineage: Eukaryota; Metazoa; Chordata; Actinopteri; Cypriniformes; Cyprinidae. The record is from Ensembl.